This 501-nucleotide ribosomal RNA is filed under the name uncultured bacterium. RNAcentral describes it as "partial 16S ribosomal RNA". It matches the Rfam family "Bacterial small subunit ribosomal RNA", at positions 28 to 523 of the family's 1533-position model. The record is from RNAcentral.
GAUUAACGCUGGCGGCAGGCUUAACACAUGCAAGUCGAGCGGAGAUGAGGUGCUUGCACCUUAUCUUAGCGGCGGACGGGUGAGUAAUGCUUAGGAAUCUGCCUAUUAGUGGGGGACAACAUUCCGAAAGGAAUGCUAAUACCGCAUACGUCCUACGGGAGAAAGCAGGGGAUCUUCGGACCUUGCGCUAAUAGAUGAGCCUAAGUCGGAUUAGCUAGUUGGUGGGGUAAAGGCCUACCAAGGCGACGAUCUGUAGCGGGUCUGAGAGGAUGAUCCGCCACACUGGGACUGAGACACGGCCCAGACUCCUACGGGAGGCAGCAGUGGGGAAUAUUGGACAAUGGGGGAAACCCUGAUCCAGCCAUGCCGCGUGUGUGAAGAAGGCCUUAUGGUUGUAAAGCACUUUAAGCGAGGAGGAGGCUACUGAGACUAAUACUCUUGGAUAGUGGACGUUACUCGCAGAAUAAGCACCGGCUAACUCUGUGCCAGCAGCCGCGGUAA